This 65-nucleotide transfer RNA is filed under the name Ontholestes tessellatus. RNAcentral describes it as "tRNA-Trp". Lineage: Eukaryota; Metazoa; Arthropoda; Insecta; Coleoptera; Staphylinidae. The record is from RNAcentral.
AAGGAUUUAAGUUAAAUAAAACUAGUAGCCUUCAAAGCUUCAAACAAAGAAAUCUUUAAGCCUUA